AAAAAAAAGCCUUUUGUGAGAAUCUAGAUGCGGAAUCUUGGGUAGGAUGAACUACAACUACAAGUGCCAAGCUCAACUAGCUUAUAUAAAUUGAGCGAUCAUAGUAGCCUUUAUCGUGGCAGAAUGGAGCUUUAGAGUCCAUUAUAUGAACCCAAAUGCUUCAAAUCAUAGUUUAUGUAGUUCAUUUUAGAAUUUCGUUUGUUCAUUAUGUAAAUUGUGAUGUGAGAAAACGAGCAAUGAUAAUAUAUGAGCGUGGGAUGCCUUUACUUUCUAUUCUUAUCAUCCAUUUGAGACCACAAAUUGUGUUAAAUAUUUGCCACUUAUGUAAAUCAAUUGCAGUUCACUUUUGGGCACCGACUUUUA
This 363-nucleotide unclassified non-coding RNA is filed under the name Hevea brasiliensis (rubber tree). Lineage: Eukaryota; Viridiplantae; Streptophyta; Magnoliopsida; Malpighiales; Euphorbiaceae. The record is from RNAcentral.